Molecule: transfer RNA, 65 nt
Filed under: Stenocercus guentheri
Lineage: Eukaryota; Metazoa; Chordata; Lepidosauria; Squamata; Tropiduridae
Description: tRNA-Cys
Source: RNAcentral
AAGCCCCGGAGCCUUUUAGGGCUCGUCUUCAAACUUGCAAUUUGACGUGUUCCCACCACGAAGCU